This 371-nucleotide ribosomal RNA is filed under the name uncultured organism. RNAcentral's name for it is "partial 16S ribosomal RNA". It matches the Rfam family "Bacterial small subunit ribosomal RNA", at positions 527 to 896 of the family's 1533-position model. The record is from RNAcentral.
GGAGAGUGCAAGCGUUAAUCGGAAUUACUGGGCGUAAAGCGCGCGUAGGUGGAUAUUUUAGUCGGAUGUGAAAUCCCCGGGCUUAACCUGGGAACUGCACUCGAUACUGGGUAUCUAGAGUAUGGUAGAGGGAAGUGGAAUUUCCGGUGUAGCGGUGAAAUGCGUAGAUAUCGGAAGGAACACCAGUGGCGAAGGCGGCUUCCUGGAUCAAUACUGACACUGAGGUGCGAAAGCGUGGGGAGCAAACAGGGAUUAGAUACCCUGGUAGUCCACGCCGUCAACGAUGAGAACUAGAUGUUGGGAGGGGGAUCCUCUUAGUAUCGUAGCUAACGCGUUAAGUUCUCCGCCUGGGGAGUACGGCCGCAAGGUUA